UCCAUCUCCAUUUGUCCUCUAUUUUUUUCAUUCUCAAGAAUUUCAAUCGGGCAGGAGGCUUGAAGCGGCCAAAUAGAGAAGGUUAAUCAGAUGAGAUGUUGGAGCAAUCGAAUAGGAAAGCAGGAAGGACUAGGUUUUGGAUCUUAGUGGCCGAAUAGAGAAGCUUAUGAGCCACGAUGGCUAAGGUUUUGGGUCAGUGGAUCUCAACAAUCAAAUAGGGAAGAAGGAAUAUGAUGGUUUAUGAUUUU
This 248-nucleotide long non-coding RNA is filed under the name Elaeis guineensis (African oil palm). Its description in RNAcentral is "long non-coding RNA (EGUI_LNC027930)". Lineage: Eukaryota; Viridiplantae; Streptophyta; Magnoliopsida; Arecales; Arecaceae. The record is from RNAcentral.